ACUGCACAAAGUAGCGGGAUUUAUUAUUUCAACCAACGAGAUCAACACAAUCAUCAUGAAUAUAUUGC
This 68-nucleotide transfer RNA is filed under the name Thalassionema nitzschioides. RNAcentral's name for it is "partial Selenocysteine transfer RNA". Lineage: Eukaryota; Bacillariophyta; Fragilariophyceae; Thalassionematales; Thalassionemataceae. The record is from RNAcentral.